This 1367-nucleotide unclassified non-coding RNA is filed under the name Hevea brasiliensis (rubber tree). The record is from RNAcentral. Lineage: Eukaryota; Viridiplantae; Streptophyta; Magnoliopsida; Malpighiales; Euphorbiaceae.
UUUUUGAGAGAUGAAGCAAUCCCAUAUCCACAUUUUAUUAUGCAUCAGGUAAUGCAUCCGACGUCAGGCAUCAUCCUUACAAAUAACUAUUCUUGACUAAUAGUAAUUCAUAAAAUUUCCUUAAUCAAGGAACCACAAAAUUUGAUCCAAGCUUACCCUUCUUCACUAUCCUCCUAUUCCCAUAGCGAAAAUUGCAAGGAGAGUUGCCCAAUAUCCAACCACAAGUAACUCGUACUAAAAGACAAACCAAAGGGAAUAAAAUGAAAACAAAAGGGAAAAUUACAAAAUCAGUUUAUUUAGGAAGACUGAUAACAGCGAGGAACAAUAAUAAAUUGAACGCCGCAUUAUACCCUAUAACCCCCCAUACCAAGCAUCUACUCAUGAGUGCCUUGUCUAACCCUAGUAUGUUACUUUGGCAUCUUCAUGUUUCUCACCAACUUUUUUACCUUUNUUAUGAAUAUGAACCCUCCAGCCUCAACCUUGCGGUUAGCCAAUUACAGACUUCAUCUGUCUCUUCAGGGACUGUGUAGUGACCCAGCCCAUUGUAUGCUUUAAAUGUAAGAUUUCGAAAUCCAGCUGAAUUUAAGGUCUGUGCUGAUUUCUCCCCGUGCUUGUAUGCAACCACAUCAUCACCUAAACCGUGACAGACCAGAACAGGCAAGGAUGCUGCAUGCCUUGCAGCUUCAUGUGAUCCUUCCAUCCCCCGGUGCCGGCGCCCCCCCCCCCCCAGCCACUUAGACCAACAACUGCAUUUAGGUUGACAGGAUACAAAUUUCCGUUUCCAUAUUGUCCUAUAACACGGCAUGUGGCUGAGUAGAGGGCAGUCGCAGCACCCAUGCUGAAGCCACCAACACCAAGUUUGAUAUCUGCAGGUUCUGUUGACAACAGAUUAGCAACAUGUGCUGCUGAAGCAUCCAGCCCCUCCAAGUCAUCAGGAGCAUUUUCUGAUAUGUCUCCCACAUCAAACCAAGCAGUGCAUGGAAAUCCACCAAAUAUUGCUACUGGUCUUGUUGGAGCAGUUGGGCAAAUCCAUUUAAUAUUUGGAAGAGGAAGGGUUUCCAGGAGCUGGGACCAGCUUGAGCCCUUGUCACCAAGACCGUGCAGCCAAACUAUGGUAGCCUGGUGUUGUCCUUUAGGCCUGACCACAUGGGUCCUUCCAAACUCAAAUGUCUUCAUAGUACUUCUACUACCAGAACCACUAGUGGUUGUGUUGCUCAUUAUACACAACCAAAUUAUUCAGACUUCGCAGACUACUUGAUUAUUAAUGAACGGUUUAAGCCGAGUUCAUUCAGUAUAGAAAUAUGAAAAAGAUCUGAUGAAAGUAUAAAGUAAAAACAAUAUGGAGGAGUGGGGUUUAAGCUUUAAAG